UUAAGCGACUAAGCGUACACGGUGGAUGCCCUGGCAAUCAGAGGCGAUGAAGGACGUGCUAAUCUGCGAUAAGCGUCGGUAAGGUGAUAUGAACCGUUAUAACCGGCGAUUUCCGAAUGGGGAAACCCAGUGUGAUUCGUCACACUAUCAUUAACUGAAUCCAUAGGUUAAUGAGGCGAACCGGGGGAACUGAAACAUCUAAGUACCCCGAGGAAAAGAAAUCAACCGAGAUUCCCCAGUAGCGGCGAGCGAACGGGGAGCAGCCCAGAGCCUGAAUCAGUGUGUGUGUUAGUGGAAGCGUCUGGAAAGGCGCGCGAUACAGGGUGACAGCCCCGUACACAAAAAUGCACAUGCUGUGAGCUCGAUGAGUAGGGCGGGACACGUGGUAUCCUGUCUGAAUAUGGGGGGACCAUCCUCCAAGGCUAAAUACUCCUGAUUGACCGAUAGUGAACCAGUACCGUGAGGGAAAGGCGAAAAGAACCCCGGCGAGGGGAGUGAAAAAGAACCUGAAACCGUGUACGUACAAGCAGUGGGAGCCUCUUUAUGGGGUGACUGCGUACCUUUUGUAUAAUGGGUCAGCGACUUAUAUUCUGUAGCAAGGUUAACCGAAUAGGGGAGCCGAAGGGAAACCGAGUCUUAACUGGGCGUUAAGUUGCAGGGUAUAGACCCGAAACCCGGUGAUCUAGCCAUGGGCAGGUUGAAGGUUGGGUAACACUAACUGGAGGACCGAACCGACUAAUGUUGAAAAAUUAGCGGAUGACUUGUGGCUGGGGGUGAAAGGCCAAUCAAACCGGGAGAUAGCUGGUUCUCCCCGAAAGCUAUUUAGGUAGCGCCUCGUGAAUUCAUCUCCGGGGGUAGAGCACUGUUUCGGCAAGGGGGUCAUCCCGACUUACCAACCCGAUGCAAACUGCGAAUACCGGAGAAUGUUAUCACGGGAGACACACGGCGGGUGCUAACGUCCGUCGUGAAGAGGGAAACAACCCAGACCGCCAGCUAAGGUCCCAAAGUCAUGGUUAAGUGGGAAACGAUGUGGGAAGGCCCAGACAGCCAGGAUGUUGGCUUAGAAGCAGCCAUCAUUUAAAGAAAGCGUAAUAGCUCACUGGUCGAGUCGGCCUGCGCGGAAGAUGUAACGGGGCUAAACCAUGCACCGAAGCUGCGGCAGCGACGCUUAUGCGUUGUUGGGUAGGGGAGCGUUCUGUAAGCCUGUGAAGGUGUGCUGUGAGGCAUGCUGGAGGUAUCAGAAGUGCGAAUGCUGACAUAAGUAACGAUAAAGCGGGUGAAAAGCCCGCUCGCCGGAAGACCAAGGGUUCCUGUCCAACGUUAAUCGGGGCAGGGUGAGUCGACCCCUAAGGCGAGGCCGAAAGGCGUAGUCGAUGGGAAACAGGUUAAUAUUCCUGUACUUGGUGUUACUGCGAAGGGGGACGGAGAAGGCUAUGUUGGCCGGGCGACGGUUGUCCCGGUUUAAGCGUGUAGGCUGAUUUUCCAGGCAAAUCCGGAAAAUCAAGGCUGAGGCGUGAUGACGAGGCACUACGGUGCUGAAGCAACAAAUGCCCUGCUUCCAGGAAAAGCCUCUAAGCAUCAGGUAACAUCAAAUCGUACCCCAAACCGACACAGGUGGUCAGGUAGAGAAUACCAAGGCGCUUGAGAGAACUCGGGUGAAGGAACUAGGCAAAAUGGUGCCGUAACUUCGGGAGAAGGCACGCUGAUAUGUAGGUGAAGUCCCUCGCGGAUGGAGCUGAAAUCAGUCGAAGAUACCAGCUGGCUGCAACUGUUUAUUAAAAACACAGCACUGUGCAAACACGAAAGUAGACGUAUACGGUGUGACGCCUGCCCGGUGCCGGAAGGUUAAUUGAUGGGGUCAGCGCAAGCGAAGCUCUUGAUCGAAGCCCCGGUAAACGGCGGCCGUAACUAUAACGGUCCUAAGGUAGCGAAAUUCCUUGUCGGGUAAGUUCCGACCUGCACGAAUGGCGUAAUGAUGGCCAGGCUGUCUCCACCCGAGACUCAGUGAAAUUGAACUCGCUGUGAAGAUGCAGUGUACCCGCGGCAAGACGGAAAGACCCCGUGAACCUUUACUAUAGCUUGACACUGAACAUUGAGCCUUGAUGUGUAGGAUAGGUGGGAGGCUUAGAAGUGUGGACGCCAGUCUGCAUGGAGCCGGCCUUGAAAUACCACCCUUUAAUGUUUGAUGUUCUAACGUGGACCCGUAAUCCGGGUUGCGGACAGUGUCUGGUGGGUAGUUUGACUGGGGCGGUCUCCUCCUAAAGAGUAACGGAGGAGCACGAAGGUUGGCUAAUCCUGGUCGGACAUCAGGAGGUUAGUGCAAUGGCAUAAGCCAGCUUGACUGCGAGCGUGACGGCGCGAGCAGGUGCGAAAGCAGGUCAUAGUGAUCCGGUGGUUCUGAAUGGAAGGGCCAUCGCUCAACGGAUAAAAGGUACUCCGGGGAUAACAGGCUGAUACCGCCCAAGAGUUCAUAUCGACGGCGGUGUUUGGCACCUCGAUGUCGGCUCAUCACAUCCUGGGGCUGAAGUAGGUCCCAAGGGUAUGGCUGUUCGCCAUUUAAAGUGGUACGCGAGCUGGGUUUAGAACGUCGUGAGACAGUUCGGUCCCUAUCUGCCGUGGGCGCUGGAGAACUGAGGGGGGCUGCUCCUAGUACGAGAGGACCGGAGUGGACGCAUCACUGGUGUUCGGGUUGUCAUGCCAAUGGCACUGCCCGGUAGCUAAAUGCGGAAGAGAUAAGUGCUGAAAGCAUCUAAGCACGAAACUUGCCCCGAGAUGAGUUCUCCCUGACUCCUUGAGAGUCCUGAAGGAACGUUGAAGACGAUGACGUUGAUAGGCCGGGUGUGUAAGCGCAGCGAUGCGUUGAGCUAACCGGUACUAAUGAACCGUGAGGCUUAACCUU
RNAcentral lists this ribosomal RNA (2899 nucleotides) under Shigella boydii. RNAcentral's name for it is "bacterial LSU rRNA". It matches the Rfam family "Bacterial large subunit ribosomal RNA". The record is from RNAcentral. Lineage: Bacteria; Pseudomonadati; Pseudomonadota; Gammaproteobacteria; Enterobacterales; Enterobacteriaceae.